This 382-nucleotide unclassified non-coding RNA is filed under the name fungal sp. RNAcentral's name for it is "partial internal transcribed spacer region". The stretch from base 1 to 46 matches the Rfam family "Eukaryotic small subunit ribosomal RNA", at positions 1786 to 1831 of the family's 1831-position model. Lineage: Eukaryota; Fungi. The record is from RNAcentral.
AAGUCGUAACAAGGUUUCCGUAGGUGAACCUGCGGAAGGAUCAUUAACACAUCCUUUUAACAAUAUAAUCAACUGUCGCAUCUGAGCUUCUGGGCAAACGGAGUGGUCUUAGACAGGAAUCUUAGGCAGCCCCUAAGACUAGGACCUAGCCACAACUUGCGUUGUUUGCUAACGCGGACUCUUGUUGAGGGCACACUGACGCGCUGGGGUAAACCGGCAUUUCCUUGCUGAAACAUUUUUUACAACUUGAUUUUUGUACUGAAUAAAUGGCAUUUUUGGAUUGAGAAGGUUCGCCUUUUCUCUGGGAGUGUCGAGUCGAUUGGAGAAAUCCUUUCGUACUUUCAAUCAAACACAACUCUUAACAGCGGAUAUCUCGGUUCUC